RNAcentral lists this ribosomal RNA (409 nucleotides) under uncultured Olsenella sp. RNAcentral describes it as "bacterial SSU rRNA". It matches the Rfam family "Bacterial small subunit ribosomal RNA", at positions 505 to 916 of the family's 1533-position model. Lineage: Bacteria; Bacillati; Actinomycetota; Coriobacteriia; Coriobacteriales; Atopobiaceae. The record is from RNAcentral.
GUGCCAGCAGCCGCGGUAAUACGUAGGGGGCGAGCGUUAUCCGGAUUCAUUGGGCGUAAAGCGCGCGCAGGCGGCCUGCUCGGUCGGGAGUCAAAUCCGGGGGCUCAACCCCCGCCCGCUCCCGAUACCGGCGGGCUUGAGUCUGGUAGGGGAAGGCGGAAUUCCCAGUGUAGCGGUGGAAUGCGCAGAUAUUGGGAAGAACACCGGUGGCGAAGGCGGCCUUCUGGGCCACGACUGACGCUGAGGCGCGAAAGCUAGGGGAGCGAACAGGAUUAGAUACCCUGGUAGUCCUAGCCGUAAACGAUGGACACUAGGUGUGGGGGGAGGAUCCCUCCGUGCCGCAGCCAACGCAUUAAGUGUCCCGCCUGGGGAGUACGGCCGCAAGGCUAAAACUCAAAUAAAUUGACGG